Molecule: long non-coding RNA, 1818 nt
Organism: Heterocephalus glaber (naked mole-rat)
Lineage: Eukaryota; Metazoa; Chordata; Mammalia; Rodentia; Bathyergidae
Source: Ensembl
GUGAACUCACCAAGGCCCUGCUUCUUCAUGGACUAGGACUUAAGUCUCGGUAGCAGCCAUUGGCCGAGGGGCUCUACUUGCCCAACUCUGCUAUCUGACAUGCCCAUUUGAGUCAUGUAAAGCUUUGGUUAAACUCCUAAUAUAAUACAGGCAAAAUAUAGAGGGACAAGGAGCUCGUGCCACUAAUAGCCUGUUGAUACUGGGCAGGGAUGUCUGCUACACAACUCAUCAUUGAAAAGUUGGUCCCGUGAUCAAUUGAGUUGUUUGUUAGGAGAAUGGUGCCAUGGUUGGAAUGUUUAAAGAUGCUGGAAUUAAGGAUGUGGUAUUACUAAAUCAGUCCACUGAUGGGUUUGGCACCUGCCCUAAGCUUGGUAGCUUAGAUACAAUAUAGAAGAGUGUUAUAGUCAGGAUUUGCAAGAGAAUAGAUUUAAUAUAGGACAUAUAAUUUACAGAAUUAUUUUAUAAUAUUCACCCCAAAAGCCCAAUGCAGAGGAGUGCUAGAAAUCUGUCCACACACUAGAGAUCCAAAGAAUCCAGCCAAGGCCCUGGAUCCCACAGCAAUGUCCAGCACAAGGCCACCCAGAGGCCUAGAGCCCACAGCAAUAUCUCUUGCUUGUCUAUAUCAAGGAUCUGCACCAGGAAGCCCCAAAGGCCAGUGGUGGAAGCUAGAAAGCCUGCAGUGGAGGAAUAAAGGAUCCAUGCCACCAGGCUGAGGAAUCUUCACUGGAACCAGGAAGCAAUACUCAAGGUGAAGAUCAGAGCUCCCCUGAUAAGAAUAGUAGCUGUUCUCAUCCAACAACAAGGACCCAAGCUCCAACAAUGACAAGAUCAGCCAAGUUUGCAUUAGGAAAACCAGCUGCAGGAAGCCUCCCCAGUGAAUUUCCAGGGCAGAGCACAGAGAAACAAAAAAAUGGAUCAUAAAGGCAGUCAAGAUACAAGAUAUAAGAAGGCUGGACUGAGAAGAUCUAUCACAUGCCUAAUCAGAGUCCCAGAGAGAGGUAAAACAGAAUGUGGCAAAAGCAGUAUUUGAAUAUUCAAAAAGAUCAUGGCUGAUUAAAAAAUUUAGGGAUCCCAAAUUCCAAUUUGUCCAUAUCUCAGGCUGGACAGAUAAGGAGAAAUCCCAUCAGAGGAAAAUUGCAGGACACCAAAAACCAAGAAGGAAGAUCGCCUUCAAAGAGAAACAAACAGAGGCGACAUCUCGGCUGCUACAGAAAUCUUCAAGGUUGGAAUGGUCUCUGUGUGCAUCAGAGAAAUUAUCAGCUUAGAGCUGUACACCCUGUGGCAAGUAUCUUUCAGGAAAAGACUACAAAAAAUAUCUUUCAGGAUAAGAGCUAAAGAGUCAGGCAAACAAAAGCUGAGAAUUUGACAUCAAAAGUUGUUUAUCAGAUAAAGAUCUAAAGGAUUAUUUUAGGCAGAUGGAAAUGGAUUCCAGGUGGAAAUGGUACUUUUAAGAAGAAAAAAGAGAGAGAGAGAGAAAUGGGAAAAAUACCGGUAAAUAUGUUGGUUCAUUUCAACAAACAUUGAUUGUAUAAGGCAAAAGUAAUUUAAAUGAGAGAUCUAUUUAUAGCAUGAUGACUAUACUUAGUAACAGUGUAUUGUAUUCUUGCAAGUAACUAAGAAAGUAAAUUUUAAGUGUGCUUGACAUGAAAAAUGUUAGGUCUGUCUGUGCGGUAUCGCACAUGUCCAUUAGCUUGGUUUAGCCAUUCCACAAUGUAGACAUGUUUCAAAACAUCAUGUUGUACCCCAAAAUAUAUGCAAAUUGUGUGAAUUUUUUUAAAGUUAAACAAUAAUAAGUUUUUAAAACAACUAAAAUCCAAG